AUGGCCCGCCGCAAGGUCCCCAUGAGGCUCAUCGAGAAGGCGCGGGCGCGCGCCGAGACGCACGCCAGGAGGACCAAGGGGCUGCAGAAGAAGGCGUCGGAGCUCGCCAGGCUCUGCGCUGUCCCGGUCGCGCUCGUCUGCUCCGCCGGCGCGGGGGCUCCGCCACUCGUGUGGGAGUCGGAGGAGGGAGUGCUCGAGAGGUACCGGCGCGCCGUCCCGGCGGAGGCCCGCGCGCGGCACACGCACCGGAGCUACAUGGAGACUGAGCUGGGCAAGGAGAGGGCCAAGCUCGCCCGGACGCGGCACGGCUGCCCCGGCGUGCUCGCGGACUGGGACGCCGCGCUCAACGACAUGACGCUGGACGGGGCGCGGGGGCUGCUCGACACCAUCGACGCGGCGCUGCGGGCCACGGGAGACAGGAUGGAGGCGCUGGGC
RNAcentral lists this ribosomal RNA (435 nucleotides) under Triticum aestivum (bread wheat). RNAcentral's name for it is "partial small subunit ribosomal RNA". The record is from RNAcentral. Lineage: Eukaryota; Viridiplantae; Streptophyta; Magnoliopsida; Poales; Poaceae.